GUAAGUUGAAUACAAUAUGCAGUAUUAAGCAACUCCAAAUUCCUAGACUAAAAUAUAAGGCAAAGGUCAGAACCUUGGGUAUCAUCUUUCUUGGCAGGCUCUAUCUUUCCACUCAGACACAAGGCUGAUCUUGCUGGCCCAACACUUCCCAUUUAAGAGCUUCUUUCUUAAAAUAUUUGCUUAACAAACUUAAACUGUUAGAAAACUUUUAUUUUUGUUUUUCCUGGGAGGAAAUGUUAAAAGGCUGCAGUACUAUAGAAUAUUUUUAAGUAUUUCCCCAGAAUCACAACUUAACAUUAAUCCAGAAAAACUGUGAUAACCAAAAUACUCCAGGACAGAGAUAACCUACUAAUUAUAUUCUCUUGGAAGAUAAAUGUUAAAAACUUAAGUGUACUUGGAGCUCCAACUUGAAUUAUUAAAAUCUUUAAAGAAUGUAGAGUUCUCCUUCCCCAUGCUGACUGGGCCAUAAGAGGAGUCUUCACACUGAACUCUGAUGUGAGUCCCUGAAGGAUACAAUCUGUAGAAGAAAAAAAAAGUGGCCACACAGUCCCAUAUUCUGAUGAUAGGCUGCUGGCUGCAGUGCUGUUUCCAACUGUUUCCUGGUCCUCCCUGUUUUGCCAGUGGCCAUAGUGAACUUGCUGAUGGACGUAAAUGCAACUUGAAGGAGUUCCAGGAAUUACGAAAACCAACACAUAUUGGUUCAAGGUGAAAUGGAGUUUUAAUGAAGAUGGUCAGGGUGGAGGAAGGCUCAGCAUGGGUAUAGAAGAAGAUGGAACAGAAAACUGUCAAAGAGGGAAGCGUGGGGCCUCGCUCGAAGGUGAACUUCCUCCUGUGGGUGGGUGCAGAUAUCUGUGCCAUGAGAAACAUGGAAAUUAGUGAAUGCAAAGAAAGCAGAAGUAGCUUCCCCAGCUACUUAAACUGCUGAGUGCCGUUCCCUUAGCCAUACUGCAAAUGAAACAUUGCCUUGCAUUGUCUGUCAGGGAAUUGGUGUUUUCCUUAAGUUUGCUAGUGUUCAGAAGCAUCAGUAGAAUUCUGCAUGUUGCUCAAAUCUAAACCAUGUGAACUUAUGAGAAGAUUUAUGCAUCUGAAGUGUUCUGCUGACACUCUGGUGUCAUAACUGAAGUAUCCUAAACAUUCGUUUAUUUAGCUAUUUUACAAAAUAAAAC
Non-coding RNA from Cricetulus griseus (Chinese hamster), 1166 nucleotides. The record is from RefSeq and is a predicted model, not a curated record. Lineage: Eukaryota; Metazoa; Chordata; Mammalia; Rodentia; Cricetidae.